GAUGUUCAGAUAGCCAUGCAUGUCUAAGUAUAAAUGGGUAUACAGUGAAACAGCGAAUGGGCUCAUUAAAACAGUUAUAGUUUAUUUGGUAAUCGAAUUUACAUAGGAUAACCGUGGUAAUUCUAGAGCUAAUACAUGCUGUAAAGCCCGACUUUUCGGAAGGGCCGUAUUUAUUAGAUAACAGACCAAUAUUCCUCGUGUCUAUUGUGGUGAAUCAUAGUAACUAAUCGGAUCGCAUGGGCUAGUCCCGCGACAAACCAUUCAAGUUUCUGCCCCAUCAGCUUUCGAUGGUAGUGUAUUGGACUACCAUGGCUUUUACGGGUAACGGAGGAUUAGGGUUCGAUUCCGGAGAGGGAGCCUGAGAAACGGCUACCACAUCUAAGGAAGGCAGCAGGCGCGUAAAUUACCCAAUUCUAAUUCAGAGAGGUAGUGACAAGAAAUAACGGGUCGGGGCUAUGCCCCGGGACUGCAAUGAGAUGAAUUUACACCCCUUUUCGAGU
Molecule: ribosomal RNA, 500 nt
Filed under: uncultured eukaryote
Lineage: Eukaryota
Description: SSU rRNA
Rfam family: Eukaryotic small subunit ribosomal RNA
Source: RNAcentral